GCCCUCGGGUGCCGCGUGCACGGGGACGUGCAAAGCUCCUCGUGCGUGCAAAAGUGCCACGUGCGUGUGUGCGGCGCGUGCAAGCGCGCUCCGUGCACGCUCAUGGCACGCGUGGUGCGUGCAAAGUUGCAAACUGUGCUCUGUGCGUGCAAACCUUGCUCCGUGCAGGCUCUUGGUGCACGUUCUGGGUGCAAAACUGCUCGGUGCACACUCCCGGUGCACGAUUUGCGUGCAAACCUUGCUCCGUGCACGCUCUUGGUGCACGUUCUGGGUGCAAAACUGCUCGGUGCACGCUCCCGGUGCACGACUUGCGUGCAAAGCUUGCUUGGUGCAUGCUCCCAGUGCACAUUGUGCACGCAAACCUUGCUCCGUGCAUGCUCCCAGUGCACACUGCGCUUGCAAACUGUGCUCGGUGCAUGCUCCUGGUGCACGAUUUGCAAGCAAAGGUGCCCCGUGCACGCUCAGUGUGCACUGUGCAUGCAAACCUUGUUCCGUGCACGCUCCCAGCGCACACUGCGCUUGCAACCAGUGCUCCGUGCAUGCUCUGGGUGCACGAUUUGCACGCAAACCUUGCUCCGUGCACGCUCUUGGUGCGUGUUCUGGGUGCAAACCUUGCUCGGUGCACGCCCCCGGUGCACGCUUUGCACGCAACCCCUGCUCUGCGCAUGCUCCGUGCACGCCCCCCC
RNAcentral lists this long non-coding RNA (686 nucleotides) under Anser cygnoides (Swan goose). RNAcentral describes it as "lncRNA (ENSACDG00005008805.1)". The record is from RNAcentral. Lineage: Eukaryota; Metazoa; Chordata; Aves; Anseriformes; Anatidae.